GGGCGGUUAACUCAGCAGGUAGAGUGUCAUCGUGACAUGGUGAAAGUCGUAGGUUCGAGUCCUAUACCGCCCA
This 73-nucleotide transfer RNA is filed under the name Tissierellia bacterium. RNAcentral describes it as "tRNA-Val". It matches the Rfam family "tRNA". Rfam says of the family: Transfer RNA (tRNA) molecules are approximately 80 nucleotides in length. Lineage: Bacteria; Bacillati; Bacillota; Tissierellia. The record is from RNAcentral.